UACGAAGGGGGCUAGCGUUGCUCGGAAUCACUGGGCGUAAAGCGCACGUAGGCGGCUUUCUAAGUCAGAGGUGAAAUCCUGGAGCUCAACUCCAGAACUGCCUUUGAUACUGGAGAGCUUGAGUCCGGGAGAGGUGAGUGGAACUGCGAGUGUAGAGGUGAAAUUCGUAGAUAUUCGCAAGAACACCAGUGGCGAAGGCGGCUCACUGGCCCGGUACUGACGCUGAGGUGCGAAAGCGUGGGGAGCAAACAGG
Molecule: ribosomal RNA, 253 nt
Filed under: uncultured bacterium
Lineage: Bacteria
Description: partial 16S ribosomal RNA
Rfam family: Bacterial small subunit ribosomal RNA
Source: RNAcentral